CUAAGAAUCUUGCGCAAUGGGCGAAAGCCUGACGCAGCAAUUCCGCGUGGGGGACGAAGGCCCUCGGGUCGUAAACACCUUUUGUGAGGGAAGAAGUUCUGACGGUACCUCACGAAUAAGACACGGCUAACUACGUGCCAGCAGCCGCGGUAAUACGUAGGUGUCGAGCGUUGUCCGGAUUUAUUGGGCGUAAAGAGCCCGCAGGCGGCUUGGUAAGUUCGAGGUGAAAUCUCCCGGCUCAACUGGGAGGGUGCCUCGAAAACUAUCAGGCUUGAGGCAGGGAGAGUGAUGUGGAAUUCCCGGUGUAGUGGUGAAAUGCGUAGAUAUCGGGAGGAACACCAGUGGCGAAGGCGGCAUCCUGGCCCUGUCCUGACGCUCAGGGGCGAAAGCGUGGGGAGCAAACC
RNAcentral lists this ribosomal RNA (404 nucleotides) under uncultured bacterium. RNAcentral describes it as "bacterial SSU rRNA". It matches the Rfam family "Bacterial small subunit ribosomal RNA", at positions 355 to 774 of the family's 1533-position model. The record is from RNAcentral.